This 467-nucleotide ribosomal RNA is filed under the name uncultured bacterium. RNAcentral describes it as "partial 16S ribosomal RNA". It matches the Rfam family "Bacterial small subunit ribosomal RNA", at positions 28 to 506 of the family's 1533-position model. The record is from RNAcentral.
GACGAACGCUGGCGGCGUGCUUAACACAUGCAAGUCGAACGGAAAGGCCCUGCUUUUGUGGGGUGCUCGAGUGGCGAACGGGUGAGUAACACGUGAGUAACCUGCCCAUGACUUUGGGAUAACUUCAGGAAACUGGGGCUAAUACCGGAUAGGAGCUCCUGCUGCAUGGUGGGGGUUGGAAAGUUUCGGCGGUUGGGGAUGGACUCGCGGCUUAUCAGCUUGUUGGUGGGGUGGUGGCUUACCAAGGCUUGGACGGGUAGCCGGCCUGGGAGGGUGACCGGCCACAUUGGGCCUGGGAUACGGCCCAGACUCCUACGGGCGGCAGCGGUGGGGAAUCUUGCACAAUGGGCGGAGGCCUGAUGCAGCAACGCCGCGUGCGGGAGGACGGCCUUCGGGUUGUAAACCGCUUUCGCCUGUGACGAAGCGUGCGUAACGGUAUUGGGUAAAGACGCACCGGCUACCUCCGU